UCGGAUUGUAGGCUGCAACCCGCCUGCAUGAAGUUGGAAUUGCUAGUAAUCGCGGAUCAGCAUGCCGCGGUGAAUACGUUCCCGGGGAUUGUACACACCGCCCGUCACACCAUGAGAGUCGGGAACACCCAAAGUCCGUAGUCUAACCGCAAGGAGGACGCGGCCUAAGGUGGGUUCGAUAAUUGGGGUGAAGUCGUAACAAGGUACC
Molecule: ribosomal RNA, 208 nt
Filed under: uncultured bacterium
Lineage: Bacteria
Description: partial 16S ribosomal RNA
Rfam family: Bacterial small subunit ribosomal RNA
Source: RNAcentral